UUCCUACGGGAGGCAGCAGUCGAGAAUCAUUCACAAUGGGGGAAACACUGAUGGUGCGACGCCGCGCGGGAGGAUGAAGGUCUUCGGAUUGUAAACCCCUGUCAUGUGGGAGCAAAUUAAAAAGAUAGUACCACAAGAGGAAGAGACGGCUAACUCUGUGCCAGCAGCCGCGGUAAUACAGAGGGCUCAAGCGUUGUUCGGAAUCGCUGGGCGUAAAGCGUGCGUAGGCUGUUUCGUAAGGCGUGUGUGAAAGGAGCGGGCUCAACCCGCGGACGGCACAUGAUACUGCGAGACUAGAGUACUGG
Molecule: ribosomal RNA, 305 nt
Filed under: uncultured bacterium
Lineage: Bacteria
Description: bacterial SSU rRNA
Rfam family: Bacterial small subunit ribosomal RNA
Source: RNAcentral